GACAGAGGGUGCGAACGUUGUUCGGAAUUACUGGGCGUAAAGCGCGUGUAGGCGGGACGGCACGUCGGUCGCUGAAAUCCCCCGGCUUAACCGGGGAACGGGCGUCGAUACGACCGUCCUGGAGGGGCGUAGGGGGACCUGGAACUUCCGGUGGAGCGGUGAAAUGCGUUGAGAUCGGAAGGAACGCCCGUGGCGAAAGCGAGGUCCUGGACGCCUACUGACGCUGAGACGCGAAAGCCAGGGGAGCGAACGGG
RNAcentral lists this ribosomal RNA (254 nucleotides) under uncultured bacterium. RNAcentral describes it as "partial 16S ribosomal RNA". It matches the Rfam family "Bacterial small subunit ribosomal RNA", at positions 524 to 776 of the family's 1533-position model. The record is from RNAcentral.